Molecule: transfer RNA, 75 nt
Rfam family: tRNA (bases 7-65)
About the family: Transfer RNA (tRNA) molecules are approximately 80 nucleotides in length. Their secondary structure includes four short double-helical elements and three loops (D, anti-codon, and T loops).
GUCUUUUUGGCGCAGCGGUAGCGCGCUUCCCUGACACGGAAGAGGUCACUGGUUCGAUCCCAGUAUCGCCCACCA